Molecule: long non-coding RNA, 369 nt
Organism: Magallana angulata
Lineage: Eukaryota; Metazoa; Mollusca; Bivalvia; Ostreida; Ostreidae
Exons: 2
Source: RefSeq, a predicted model, not a curated record
CAAAAUCCAUGUUUAGCUAUAAAUGGCCCUGUGAUAUGUCAAAAAUUAAACUAGGUCAAAAUGAAAUAAAAUUGGUGUUAUGUGUUACUCUAGACCUGAUACUAUUUUGACAUGCCAGAAUUUCCCCGCCAAAACGUCUGCUUGCAAAAAUAUGUAAAUGACAAAACCGGUUCCGGAUCGGUUUUGGGGUAAAAUCACAGCAUUUUCGUUCUUUGAGGGUGUGCUGUUGAUGAAAAUUAAAAUGUAAACAAGAAGAGGAGCAAUCCGGAUUUACUUAUUUUUUGACAGUAUUGCACGUUUUUUCACACCUUUUUGUUUUAAAAAUAUAAAAACCACAAGAAUCAAACACAUUGUGUAAUUGUCAUCUAA